This 765-nucleotide ribosomal RNA is filed under the name Myxobolus ridouti. Its description in RNAcentral is "SSU rRNA". It matches the Rfam family "Eukaryotic small subunit ribosomal RNA", at positions 203 to 883 of the family's 1831-position model. Lineage: Eukaryota; Metazoa; Cnidaria; Myxozoa; Bivalvulida; Myxobolidae. The record is from RNAcentral.
AUUUAUUAGUUUUAACCGAAUUACUGCGCAAGCAGUAAGGUGAAUCUAGAUAACUUUGCUGAUCGCAUGGCUUUGCCAGCGACGUUUCAAUUGAGUUUCUGCCCUAUCAAUUUGUUGGUAAGGUAUUGGCUUACCAAGGUUGUAACGGGUAACGGGGAAUCAGGGUUCGAUUCCGGAGAGGGAGCUUGAGAAUCGGCUACCACAUCCAAGGAAGGCAGCAGGCGCGCAAAUUACCAAAUCUAGACAGUAGGAGGUGGUGAAGAGAAGUACUAAGUGGUGGUUAUUUACUACCAGCUUGGAAUGGACGUAAUUUAAGCAUUUCGAUGAGUAACUACUGGAGGGCAAGUCCUGGUGCCAGCAGCCGCGGUAAUUCCAGCUCCAGUGGCGUGAUUUAAAGUUGCUGCGUUUAAAACGCUCGUAGUUGGAUCAAGCGGUGUCAGUUUGUAGUCGAUGGCUGGCAUGUGGCUGUUUCAGUCGAUGCCAGUCAGAGAUUAAAACGCAAACUGGCACUAUUUAAUCGCAAGCAUGUUAGUUGACCUUGAAUGAGUUGAUUAUCAUGUUUUGCAGAGUUGUGCCUUGAAUAAAACAGAGUGCUCAAAGCAGGCGAACGCUUGAAUGUUGUAGCAUGGAACGAACAAACGUGUCUUUGCACGUGUCGUGCGAAGUGGAGGUGCUUCUGGCGUGUCCACUUUGCUGACGUGUGCAUCACCCGCCAAAGUACGAUUGUUGGUUAUCGUAUUAAGGUGAUGAUUAAAAAGAGCGGGC